CUACGGGCGGCACCAGUGGGGAAUAUUGCACAAUGGACGAAAGUCUGAUGCAGCAACGCCGCGUGGAGGAUGACACAUUUCGGUGCGUAAACUCCUUUUAUAUAAGAAGAUAAUGACGGUACUAUAUGAAUAAGCACCGGCUAACUCCGUGCCAGCAGCCGCGGUAAUACGGAGGGUGCAAGCGUUACUCGGAAUCACUGGGCGUAAAGAGCGUGUAGGCGGGUUAAUAAGUUGGAAGUGAAAUCCUAUGGCUCAACCAUAGAACUGCUUCCAAAACUGUUAACCUAGAAUAUGGGAGAGGUAGAUGGAAUUUCUGGUGUAGGGGUAAAAUCCGUAGAGAUCAGAAGGAAUACCGAUUGCGAAGGCGAUCUACUGGAACAUUAUUGACGCUGAGACGCGAAAGCGUGGGGAGCAAACAGGAUUAGAUACCCCGGUAGUC
Molecule: ribosomal RNA, 439 nt
Filed under: uncultured bacterium
Lineage: Bacteria
Description: partial 16S ribosomal RNA
Rfam family: Bacterial small subunit ribosomal RNA
Source: RNAcentral